RNAcentral lists this transfer RNA (72 nucleotides) under Camelus bactrianus (Bactrian camel). It matches the Rfam family "tRNA". Rfam says of the family: Transfer RNA (tRNA) molecules are approximately 80 nucleotides in length. The record is from Rfam by way of RNAcentral. RNAcentral also lists the same sequence under 1 other name. Lineage: Eukaryota; Metazoa; Chordata; Mammalia; Artiodactyla; Camelidae.
GAGGGUAUAGCUCAGUUGUGUAGUGAGUGCUUAGCAUGCACAAAGUUGUGGGUUCAAUCCCCAGUACCUCCA